UACAGAGGUCCCAAGCGUUGUUCGGAUUCACUGGGCGUAAAGGGUGCGUAGGUGGUUGUGCAAGUCUGAUGUGAAAUCUCCGGGCUUAACCCGGAAAUGGCAUUGGAAACUGCGCAGCUAGAGGUUUGGAGGGGGGACUGGAAUUCUCGGUGUAGCAGUGAAAUGCGUAGAUAUCGAGAGGAACACCAGUGGCGAAGGCGAGUCCCUGGACAACACCUGACACUGAGGCACGAAAGCUAGGGGAGCAAACAGG
RNAcentral lists this ribosomal RNA (253 nucleotides) under uncultured bacterium. RNAcentral describes it as "partial 16S ribosomal RNA". It matches the Rfam family "Bacterial small subunit ribosomal RNA", at positions 524 to 776 of the family's 1533-position model. The record is from RNAcentral.